AAAAGAAGAUUAGUGUAUAAAGACACUUGCCAGAAAAUAGCAGAAUAAAGUUUAAAUAUGUGAAAUCUAAACAGAAAUGAUUGAGCACCAGUUAAGAUGAUUAUAAUGAGCAUUUCUGAUUCAAAUGUUUCGACAAGAAUGUGUAAGAUGUAAAUGGAACACUUCACAUAACUUCUUUGAUAGAAUAAAUAAAUGGUUUAAUUGUUAAAGGAAAUGGAAUAUUCAGGUGAUACUAGAACUGAAUUCAACUAUUUUCAAAUUUCAAACCUGGCAGUUUGUGACAGUGGAGCUUUACCAUCAG
RNAcentral lists this long non-coding RNA (301 nucleotides) under Solanum tuberosum (potato). Its description in RNAcentral is "long non-coding RNA (STUB_LNC001266)". Lineage: Eukaryota; Viridiplantae; Streptophyta; Magnoliopsida; Solanales; Solanaceae. The record is from RNAcentral.